AUCUUGCUGGAGAUCUGCCUGCCUGGGGACUUUUACUAGGCCUUCUGAAGCACAGGAACCUGGACCACAUGGACUUUGAGCAAAGACUGAUGAGGAGCUUGCUACCUCUUCUUAGUGACACAAAUUCUUCUGAGAGAAAAUGGAAGCACAUGCAGGUGGUGUUUUUCUAGACCUCUUCCUGUGUCUGUAAGGGUGUGAAAGAGCUGUGGUGGAUCCUGUUUCUGGAGGAAGGAAUUGACUUUGUCAAUGCCAGCCACGCUGGUAAGGGAAGAAUUCCCUACAGUCUUCACAGAGCAGGCUAUACAGAACAUGUGCUGUAAGUGGGGCUUUCUCACUUUUGGAGGUUGUGCUUUCCCUGCACACAGGUCCCUCCUGAAGUGCUGAGCUUGGGAAUUUAAUUAGCUGAAUGUUUCUUCUCUUUUUAUUUCACUUUUUCUUCAAAGAAUUAAAUAGUGAGAAAGAAUUCUGGCUGUUUCAAACAGCAUGCAGGAAAUGAGCAAGCUGAAUGGUGUGUUUGCCAGCACACGGACCUUUCUGGCAUACCUAAAUUUUGUCUGGACUAUAGAUUUUCCUUAUGGUUAGACAUUAGUAGCCAACCAUCAAAAGCUUUUCCAUACAGAACAAAAGCCAUGAUUUGCUGUGGUCCGUGCCUCUGACUAAUAAAUAUGUCCUGAGAUGCCCCGGGAUGGGAUGGUCUGUUUCAUAUGAGCAUCUGUUUUCUGUUUUUCUCCCCUUGAAGUGUGGUUCCUGCCUGGGGGACCCUGGGGGCACUCACAUCCAGAACUGACCAUAGGCAGGUGGAAACUGCUUGGAGGUCUAACGCCCUUCCACAUGGCUCAUAGAGCCAUGCUGGGGAGGCAGCCAGCCACCAGAUAAGGGACAGACGUAGCUGGAGAAGAAGACUGGGCUCUCCUGGGACAGAUAAAAGUCAGCCACUUGCUGCCAGUGGUUGUCUACUCAACGAGAACAUGGCGUUUUGAUUACAUUUCCCUCUGUUGCCAAAAGAUGAAUCCAAGAAAGAAAUCAAGAACGUAAUCUACAAAUACAAUUCUGGCUCAUUUCUGCUAGGCUGAGUACCUCAUUUGCACUUCUUUUGCUCUUCCUACUGACUCCUCUUGGCCUGAACUGUCAAGUUAGUAUGGUCUGCCUUCAUAUGUAUAUAUAUUUGUCCUUUUUCUCCAUCAAUUGAGUUGAAAUGCCACCUGUAUUUCCUUUGUGCAGUAGUAACUACAGAGGAAAGAAUCAACAUGCUACGGUAAAAGAGGAAGUUUCAGGAUUCCUACUUCUCUUUGGAUUUGGGAAAUGAAUACGUGUGAAUGACUUUUACUAAGGAAUGUCUUUAAAACCUACUCAUAUAAUAGGGCUGAGGUGCGAGUAAUUUGUAACAGUAAGGGGAAAAUUAGAGAGAAAAUGUAGAGGAAAUGUCAAGUGCUUGCAGAGAUGCGUGUAUCUGCUUUUAUUCUACUGGAACAGAAACAGUGAUAUAUGAAUCAUUCAUGGCCUCUCCUUGCCCUCGUGGUUUUGGCAACAAAGGCCACUCUCUGAAGCAGUACAGGAGCUUGUAUCCUGGAGUUGGAAGAAAAUUCACUUGUCAGAGAGAAAUCUUUUGGGGCAAUCAGCAGACAUGGAAAGAUGGGAGGGAAUCAGCAAAAGAAGGCUGAAAAUAUCAGAGGUGUGAGGGUAAGGCGUGCUUGGGUUCUAUUGCCUAAAUGAGGCUAUUACUGCUGUCAUUGCUUUCCUGGACACUCACCGCUGUUACCUGAACCACGAUUACAUCACUGCCUCAUC
Long non-coding RNA from Gallus gallus (chicken), 1788 nucleotides. The record is from Ensembl. NCBI's taxonomy places the organism in Eukaryota, Metazoa, Chordata, Aves, Galliformes, Phasianidae.